GAUGAACGCUGGCGGCGUGCCUAAUACAUGCAAGUCGAGCGAACAGACGAGGAGCUUGCUCCUCUGACGUUAGCGGCGGACGGGUGAGUAACACGUGGAUAACCUACCUAUAAGACUGGGAUAACUUCGGGAAACCGGAGCUAAUACCGGAUAAUAUAUUGAACCGCAUGGUUCAAUAGUGAAAGACGGUUUUGCUGUCACUUAUAGAUGGAUCCGCGCCGCAUUAGCUAGUUGGUAAGGUAACGGCUUACCAAGGCAACGAUGCGUAGCCGACCUGAGAGGGGGGAUGGGCACCAUGGAACUGGAGCAACGGCCCAGCCCCUAAGGGGAGGAAGCGGUGGGGAAUCUUCGGCAAGGGGCGAAAGCCUGACGGAGAAACGCGGCGGGAGUGAGGAAGGUCUUCGGAUCGUAAAACUCUGUUAUUAGGGAAGAACAAAUGGGUAGGUAACAAUGCACGUCUGGACGGUACCAAUCAGAAAGCCACGGCUAACUACGUG
RNAcentral lists this ribosomal RNA (497 nucleotides) under uncultured bacterium. RNAcentral's name for it is "partial 16S ribosomal RNA". It matches the Rfam family "Bacterial small subunit ribosomal RNA", at positions 28 to 507 of the family's 1533-position model. The record is from RNAcentral.